Molecule: ribosomal RNA, 443 nt
Filed under: uncultured bacterium
Lineage: Bacteria
Description: partial 16S ribosomal RNA
Rfam family: Bacterial small subunit ribosomal RNA
Source: RNAcentral
CCUACGGGAGGCUGCAGUGGGGAAUAUUGGGCAAUGGGCGCAAGCCUGACCCAGCAACGCCGCGUGAAGGAAGACGGCUCUCGGGUUGUUAACUCCUUUUUUUAGGGACGCAGCAAGCGACGGUAUCUGAGGAAUAAGCCACGGCUAACUACGUGCCAGCAGCCGUGGUAAUACGCAGGUGGCAAGCGUUAUCCGGAUUGACUGGGUGUAAAGGGUGUGUAGGUGGGAAAGCAAGGUAGAUGUUAAAACCAUGGGCUCAACCUGUGGCCUGCAUUUGAAACUGUUUUUCUUGAGUACUGGAGAGGCAGACGGAAUGCCUGGUGUAGCGGUGAAAUGCGUAGAUAUUAGGAGGAACACCAGUGGCGAAGGCAGUCUGCUGGACAGCAACUGACGCUGAGGCGCGAAAGCGUGGGGAGCAAACAGGAUUAGAUACCCGUGUAGUC